RNAcentral lists this ribosomal RNA (331 nucleotides) under uncultured bacterium. Its description in RNAcentral is "bacterial SSU rRNA". It matches the Rfam family "Bacterial small subunit ribosomal RNA", at positions 29 to 392 of the family's 1533-position model. The record is from RNAcentral.
AAUGAACGCUAGUAGUAUGCUUAACACAUGCAAGUCGAACGAAAGUUUUACACUUUCGUGGCGUACGGGUGAGUAAAUGCAGAAUUCUUCCUUCCAGUUCAGUACAAAAUUGCUUCUGGUAAUAAAUUCUGAAUAUUUUUAAAGGUUUAUUCCGCUGAAAGAUGAAUCUGCUUAAGAUUAGGUUGUUGGUAAUUUAAAAGCUUACCAAGCCGAUGAUCUUUAGUUGGUCUGAGAGGAUGAUCAACCACACUGGAACUGAAACAAGGUCCAGGCUAAUUCGUUGGCCAGCAGUGAGGAAUAUUGGAGUCAAUGAACGAAAGUUUGAUCCAGC